This 29-nucleotide non-coding RNA is filed under the name Rattus norvegicus (Norway rat). Lineage: Eukaryota; Metazoa; Chordata; Mammalia; Rodentia; Muridae. The record is from RNAcentral.
UCAAACAAGCCUAUGGGAAGCUUCCUAAU